GUUUGGUCCCAGCCUUACUAUCAAAUCUCACUUAAUUUACACAUGCAAGUCUCCGCACUCCGGUGAAAACGCCCUUAAACUCCUCCCAGGAAAAUGGAGCCGGUAUCAGGUUCAACUCAUUAGCCCAUGACACCUAGCCAAGCCACACCCUCAAGGGUUUUCAGCAGUGAUUAACAUUAAAAAUUAGCGUAAGCUAGACUUAGUUAAAGUGAACAGAGCCGGCAAAUCCGGUGCCAGCCGCCGCGGCUACACCACGAGGCUCAAUUUGAUUUUUACCGGCGUAAAGCGUGAUUAAAGACAACAAUUAUACUAGAGCUAAAUUAUAACCACAUUGUGAUAAGUCUGUUAUUUAGAAACCCAAGAACGAAAGUCGCUCUAAACCCCCUUGAACUCACGACAGCUAAGAAACAAACUGAGAUUAGAUACCUCACUAUGCUUAGCCGUAAACCCUUUAAUUACACACAAAAUC
RNAcentral lists this ribosomal RNA (469 nucleotides) under Adelotus brevis. RNAcentral describes it as "partial 12S ribosomal RNA". The record is from RNAcentral. Lineage: Eukaryota; Metazoa; Chordata; Amphibia; Anura; Limnodynastidae.